RNAcentral lists this ribosomal RNA (443 nucleotides) under uncultured bacterium. Its description in RNAcentral is "partial 16S ribosomal RNA". It matches the Rfam family "Bacterial small subunit ribosomal RNA", at positions 338 to 795 of the family's 1533-position model. The record is from RNAcentral.
CCUACGGGAGGCAGCCGUGGGGAAUAUUGGUCAAUGGAGGAAACUCUGAACCAGCAACGCCGCGUGAAUGAUGAAGGUCUUCGGAUGGUAAAGUUCUUUGCUAAGGGAAGCAGAAAGUGACGGUACCUUAGGAAUAAGCCUCGGCCAACUACGUUCCAGCAGCCGCGGUAAUACGGAGGGGGCGAGCGUUAUCCGGAAUGACUGGGCGUAAAGGGUGAGUAGGGGGUUUGACAAGAUGGUAGCGUAACUCCGAGGCUUAACCUCGGCACGACUACUAAGACCGUCGGACUUGAGUGCAGGAGGGGCAAUUGGAAUUCCUAGGGUAGCGGUGGAAUGCGCAGAUAUUAGGAGGAACACCGGUGGCGAAGGCGAAUUGCUGGACUGUAACUGACACUGAGGCACGAAAGCGUGGGGAGCAAACGGGAUUAGAUACCCGAGUAGUC